Long non-coding RNA from Pistacia vera, 332 nucleotides. RefSeq lists it as uncharacterized. NCBI's taxonomy places the organism in Eukaryota, Viridiplantae, Streptophyta, Magnoliopsida, Sapindales, Anacardiaceae. The transcript has 5 exons. The record is from RefSeq and is a predicted model, not a curated record.
GAAGUGCCUGUUAUAAGGAUUUAUGGAUCAACACCAGCCGGCCAGAAGACUUGCUUGCAUGUUCAUAGAGCUUUACCCUAUUUAUAUGCCCCUGUGCUGAUAUACCUCUUCAAUCAGACCAAGAAGGUGAUGCAUUUACGAAUGCUAUAUCUCUUGGAUUGGAGAAAGCCUUGAAGCCAAAGGGUAAUGCUGGUUCAAAUCGUCAGCAUGUUCAUGGUUGCAGCCUUGUACGAGCUAAGAGAUUUUAUGGUUACCAUUCAUCAGAAGAGCUAUUUGUCAAGAUAUACCUCUAUUAUCCACAUGAUGUCUCUCGUGCUGCUAAUCUCCUUCUG